GUUCGCUUCGGCAGCACAUAUACUAAAAUUGGAAUAAUACAGAGAAGAUUAGUAUGGCCCCUGCGCAAGGAUGACACAUGCAAAUUUGUGAAUCGUUCCCUAUUUUU
Molecule: small nuclear RNA, 107 nt
Organism: Perognathus longimembris pacificus (Pacific pocket mouse)
Lineage: Eukaryota; Metazoa; Chordata; Mammalia; Rodentia; Heteromyidae
Source: RefSeq, a predicted model, not a curated record